CAAAGAGGUUUGAUGCAUAUUUUAAAGUGCAAUUUAAAGACUGCAAAGAAAGGUAUAUCAUGAGAACAUCUGUGACAUCUCAAGGAUGAAGCUGAUAAUUUUUCUGGGUCUGUUAAGCAUCACCCUUGGCUUCCCUGUGGGGCCACCAUUAGAUAAGAGAGAGAGGCGAAGAUGUCAGCUGGGUUUUGGUUAUGGACACAUGCACGCUUAUCCAUUCUAUCAUCCAUUCCUUCAGCCUGAUCAUCAGGACGUCUUCAUUCCUGAAAUAUACAUCCGCGAUCCCCCAAAACCUUCUAUUCCCAGGCCACCUGCUCCCAAACCAGUCACCCCAGGCCAACCACUACCUCAAUGGUGCGGUCAGUCACUUUCGAUGGCUCCCAGACCGAUGACCCCUGUCCUCCAUCCAGAGGUGAUGUAAAAACCUACCCUCUUCCCAUUUUCUUCUACGCUGACCCCAAAGACUGGAGCUCGAUGGGUGUGGACACAUCUGCUAUUGGUCAACCUGGAUCCAAUGUUCUUCAGCCAGCUUUUGUCCUCAUACCUGGUGUGUUCCACCCUGCAUCUGAGAGCAGCCAAGUUCCCCAAAUUCCAUCGCAAAAUAUUGAUGAGCUCAAAGCUGUGGGGGCUUUGAAGGCUUCUGAAUCUGACAGGAAACAGAAAGGUUGUUAAAUUAACAUUUAAAAGAUAGAUCACCCAAAAAUCAUAAUUCUGAUGUUUGAAUCAACACUGAUGUUUAAAAUCCCCUUGACUGAC
Long non-coding RNA from Myxocyprinus asiaticus (Chinese sucker), 753 nucleotides. RefSeq lists it as uncharacterized. Lineage: Eukaryota; Metazoa; Chordata; Actinopteri; Cypriniformes; Catostomidae. The record is from RefSeq and is a predicted model, not a curated record. The transcript has 3 exons.